UACGGAGGGUGCGAGCGUUGUCCGGAAUCACUGGGCGUAAAGGGCUCGUAGGCGGCCAACUAAGUCGGAUGUGAAAUCCCCAAGCUUAACUUGGGAACUGCAUCCGAUACUGGAUGGCUUGAAUCCGGGAGAGGGAUGCAGAAUUCCAGGUGUAGCGGUGAAAUGCGUAGAUAUCUGGAGGAAUACCGGUGGCGAAGGCGGCAUCCUGGACCGGCAUUGACGCUGAGGAGCGAAAGCUAGGGGAGCAAACGGG
Molecule: ribosomal RNA, 253 nt
Filed under: uncultured bacterium
Lineage: Bacteria
Description: partial 16S ribosomal RNA
Rfam family: Bacterial small subunit ribosomal RNA
Source: RNAcentral